GUGGGGAAUCUUGGACAAUGGGGGAAACCCUGAUCUAGCCAUGCCGCGUGAGCGAUGAAGGCCUUAGGGUUGUAAAGCUCUUUCAGAUGGGAAGAUAAUGACGGUACCAUCAGAAGAAGCCCCGGCUAACUCCGUGCCAGCAGCCGCGGUAAUACGGAGGGGGCUAGCGUUGUUCGGAAUUACUGGGCGUAAAGCGCACGUAGGCGGACCAGAAAGUCAGAGGUGAAAUCCCAGGGCUCAACCUUGGAACUGCCUUUGAAACUCCUGGUCUUGAGGUCGAGAGAGGUGAGUGGAAUUCCGAGUGUAGAGGUGAAAUUCGUAGAUAUUCGGAGGAACACCAGUGGCGAAGGCGGCUCACUGGUCCGGUACUGACGCUGAGGUGCGAAAGCGUGGGGAGCAAACAGGAUUAGAAACCCCUGGUCC
Molecule: ribosomal RNA, 423 nt
Filed under: uncultured bacterium
Lineage: Bacteria
Description: bacterial SSU rRNA
Rfam family: Bacterial small subunit ribosomal RNA
Source: RNAcentral